This 468-nucleotide ribosomal RNA is filed under the name uncultured bacterium. Its description in RNAcentral is "partial 16S ribosomal RNA". It matches the Rfam family "Bacterial small subunit ribosomal RNA", at positions 28 to 507 of the family's 1533-position model. The record is from RNAcentral.
GACGAACGCUGGCGGCGUGCUUAACACAUGCAAGUCGAACGGAAAGGCCCUGCUUUUGUGGGGUGCUCGAGUGGCGAACGGGUGAGUAACACGUGAGUAACCUGCCCUUGACUUUGGGAUAACUUCAGGAAACUGGGGCUAAUACCGGAUAGGAGCUCCUGCUGCAUGGUGGGGGUUGGAAAGUUUCGGCGGUUGGGGAUGGACUCGCGGCUUAUCAGCUUGUUGGUGGGGUAGUGGCUUACCAAGGCUUUGACGGGUGGCCGGCCUGAGAGGGUGACCGGCCACAUUGGGACUGAGAUACGGCCCAGACUCCUACGGGAGGCAGCAGUGGGGAAUAUUGCACAAUGGGCGGAAGCCUGAUGCAGCAACGCAGCGUGCGGGAUGACGGCCUUCGGGUUGUAAACCGCUUUCGCCUGUGACGAAGCGUGAGUGACGGUAAUGGGUAAAGAAGCACCGGCUAACUACGUG